GAGCACAAUACUUAUCUAUCAUUCUUUUAUUUCUCCUGUUGGUAUUCCUUCAGAGUCUACUUAUUUCACACAUUUAUCUCAGACUUCAUCCCAAACAACCCUAUAAAAAGCCACUUGUAUUGAGAAAGGUGGUCUGGUGGGUUUGAAUCAUCCCUCCAUGGGGGAAGAAAUUAUCCUGAAGAGAAGGCUAUAGGAAGAACUCCCUAGUUGAAAGGGAAGGCUCUGGAGUCAGAAGUCUUGAAUUUGAAUCCUAACUCUAAAAUGUAUCAACUGUGUGACCUCAAGUUAGUAGCUGGACUUCUGUGGCCUCAGUUUUCUCUCUGUUAGUUUUGGGUGCCAAGAGGAACUCCUUGAACUGUGAGAAGAUUAAAUGCAAAAACUGUAUGUAAUGUAAUGCACCUAGAACCAGGUCUGAUGCUUAAUGCAUAUUCAAGGAGUGUGAGCUAUUUUCAUAUGCUGUCAUUUUCAUGCAUGUGAAUAUGAAAGGGUGGGAGGGUCUAGGAAGGUGUUUAAAUCCCUUUGGUGCUCAGUUCCUUUAUUCUGCUUAGGGUGACCUCUAACAUUCCCUGGGCAACUCUACCUGCUUCCUUGGUAGGCUGGUUCCCAUUCCCUUAUGCCCUUUGCUGAUAUAUCAAUCAAUCGGGCAAACUAAUCAUCACAGAGAUGUUAGUGACUUUGACUUCUUAGAAACUAAUGAUGUAAGAAGUGCACUUCAGGCUGGAGACAGAUGGGUCCAUUCAGGUAACAUUUCUUUCCACACAGAUCAUCCCUGCAGCCUGGGCUGUGGCACCGAUGUGAGUUGGCCAUCUUAUACUAGUGGCUGCUUGGGUAUGUGGGUGAGGCUGUCCUAUUCAUGAUCCAGGGUCCUUGUGCACAUUUAUGACACCGUAUUUCUGCUUCCCUGCCUUUACUCUCCCUUUCCUUCCAGAUCAGAAUGGAAUAGGGCUCAUUAAAGAUUUAUAGGGUAAUACCAAUAAAGAACUUUAGGAGCUGGGCUUGGUCUGGAGAAGAACCAUUAGUAAAAAUCAACUCUAUGCUCUAGGAGCCUUUAGACAGCCACUGCUUCCAUUGGUGUUUAAUAUUUAUCGCUUCCUCAUAAUCUUUCAGCUGCUCUUUUGUUGACUUUAGGAAGACUGGGAGGAAAGUCCUAUGAAUAUUUAUUUUCUGCCACAUAAUAUAUUUAGUGUUUGGCUUGGAAGUUUAAGUUUUGUGUUCCUUACACAAAUUAUGAAUAAAAAAUAAAAAUCAUCAUCACUGCUUUCAGGCCAAACAUAUGUUAUCAUGUAACAAUGUAUUAUGUACAAGAGCACAACAUAACUUGCACAGGUUAGUCCUACAAGAAUGUGACACAACACAAUGAUAACACAGUAUUAAAGUGGAGCUAUGAAUGAAAAAAGAAUUUGUAAGUGCCC
This 1412-nucleotide long non-coding RNA is filed under the name Lynx pardinus (Iberian lynx). The record is from RNAcentral. Lineage: Eukaryota; Metazoa; Chordata; Mammalia; Carnivora; Felidae.